Molecule: ribosomal RNA, 253 nt
Filed under: uncultured bacterium
Lineage: Bacteria
Description: partial 16S ribosomal RNA
Rfam family: Bacterial small subunit ribosomal RNA
Source: RNAcentral
UACGUAGGGUGCGAGCGUUGUCCGGAAUUAUUGGGCGUAAAGGGCUCGUAGGCGGUUUGUCGCGUCGGGAGUGAAAACCAGGUGCUUAACACCUGGCUUGCUUUCGAUACGGGCAGACUAGAGGUAUGCAGGGGAGAACGGAAUUCCUGGUGUAGCGGUGAAAUGCGCAGACAUCAGGAGGAACACCGGUGGCGAAGGCGGUUCUCUGGGCAUGAUCUGACGCUGAGGAGCGAAAGUGUGGGGAGCGAACAGG